This 481-nucleotide ribosomal RNA is filed under the name uncultured bacterium. RNAcentral's name for it is "partial 16S ribosomal RNA". It matches the Rfam family "Bacterial small subunit ribosomal RNA", at positions 28 to 507 of the family's 1533-position model. The record is from RNAcentral.
GAUGAACGCUGGCGGCGUGCCUAACACAUGCAAGUCGAACGGAGAUUACGGACGGAAGUUUUCGGAUGGAAGCCUGUAAUUCUUAGUGGCGGACGGGCGAGUAACGCGUGGGCAACCUGCCCUAUACAGGGGGAUAGCAGCUGGAAACAGCUGGUACGACCGCCUAGGUCGGUUAAAUCGCCUGCUUUGCUCGGGAAAUGUGCAAUCAGGGAUAGGAGGUGCCCGCAUCCGAUUAGCAAGUCGGAAGGGUAAGAGGCUACCAAAGCGACGAGCGGUAGCCGGAAUGAGAGGCAGGACGGCGACAUUGGGGCUGGGCCGCGGCCCAAAAUCCUACGGGAGGCGGCAGUGGGUGAUAUUGCCCAACCGCGUGAACGCUGAAGCAGUGACGCCGGGUGAGUGAAGAAGUAGGGCGAUAUGAGAAGCAGGAUCAGCACGGACUAUGAUGACGGUACCUAAAGAAGAAGCCCCGGCUAACUACGUG